GUGUUUGGCACCUCGAUGUCGGCUCAUCACAUCCUGGGGCUGAAGUAGGUCCCAAGGGUAUGGCUGUUCGCCAUUUAAAGUGGUACGCGAGCUGGGUUUUAGAACGUCGUGAGACAGUUCGGUCCCUAUCUGCCGUGGGCGCUGGAGAAUUGAGGGGGGCUGCUCCUAGUACGGAGAGGACCGGAGUGGACGCAUCACUGGUGUUCGGGUUGUCAUGCCAAUGGCACUGCCCGGUAGCUAAAUGCGGAAGAGAUAAGUGCUGAAAGCAUCUA
RNAcentral lists this ribosomal RNA (272 nucleotides) under Klebsiella quasipneumoniae. RNAcentral describes it as "partial 23S ribosomal RNA". It matches the Rfam family "Bacterial large subunit ribosomal RNA", at positions 2514 to 2783 of the family's 2925-position model. Lineage: Bacteria; Pseudomonadati; Pseudomonadota; Gammaproteobacteria; Enterobacterales; Enterobacteriaceae. The record is from RNAcentral.